This is an RNA transcript of Polypterus senegalus (gray bichir), 2972 nucleotides long. RefSeq lists it as uncharacterized. The transcript is spliced from 2 exons. The record is from RefSeq and is a predicted model, not a curated record. Lineage: Eukaryota; Metazoa; Chordata; Cladistia; Polypteriformes; Polypteridae.
GGUCAGUCACUGGGCGCCACUCGCCUGCGGGCACCAUUGCUAAGACGCCCUCUCGGCUUGGCUCUGGGGGCUUUGGGAUGACCUCUAAAGGAAAGUGCCCAUCACUCCUCCUCAUCCUGCGCAUCCCAUAAUCCGAUCCACUUAGCUGGCCGCUCGGCGUGCAGGUGCGGCUGCCUUUAAAUUUAGCGUCGCCUGCUAAUGCCAUCUUAGUGAGGAUUUGUAAAGCUGAGCACCGUUACUGCCCUCCUGCCAGGGGCCGCCCAAGGGGGUCUCAUGUGGCUGUCCGGCCAGCCACCGUCCAUCCUUGGGUGAAACAAACCCUGACCGCACUCCAGCAUGUCAGAGGACCCACUUGCCAGCUAAUGACUGUGCCACCACCUACCUUGGCACAUUAGAGGUCAGGGCAGGCCCAGUGAGGACAUUCAGUAAGGUGAUGGCACCAACUGCGAGAGGCCCUAUAAAAAAGCAGAAAUGAGAGAGUGGCAUAACCUCGCUGGAGCAAGAAAAUGUCAUUAGAGGCAGCAAACCAUCAAGCGGGCACUUGUGGUACAAAUGGCCUCACCCGGGCACAGCAAGGACAAGGGUUCAGAUCUCUCUGGGCUGCCAUCGGACAUCGCCUCAAACACGCCCGCCAUGCCCUUGAUAUUGCAAAACAGCAGCGGCCGGUAAUGCAGCAUGGGUGCACAGUAGGGGGCAGCACCGUUGAUCGUCAGUCCAUCCAGACACGCUAGCCUUGUGGCACAGCCUGGCAAGAACAAUUCGCCUCCUCGCCCGCCAUACCCACAUGUUAUUCCUCUAUUAAGUUUCAUAUUCCAAUGUCUGCCCGUGUCGCCCCCGGGUGGCCACAGUCCUGCGCUGUAAGCCCCAAUGUUACCUUAACUCUCUGGGAUUGUGGAUGCCAACCUCGCCCAAGCUGUAAUGUGUCUCAGGAUGAUGGAAUGGCACUAUUUAAAAUAAAGAGGCUUUGUCUCAUGUUACAUGGCAAUGGGUGGCACACCAGGACCAACCUUGGGUGGGAUAUGCCCACCCUGGAAAUGGAAAUACAUGAACAGCAUCAUAGAACAUGGCAAAGGUGCCAACCAGCCCAGCAUGACACCUGAACUGUUAGGAGAGCCUGCCAACUGCACAUGGCUGGACAGGCUUUGAAAUGGCACUCAAACAUUAGCCAAUCAAGAGGCCAACCCACUGGCAGACGGGCAUGCCAGCUGCCAGUGCAGACCAACACAGGUGCCAUGCAGGUGUGUGCUGUGCAGGUGCUUUCUGUUUUGGAAAACGGGACUGGAAUGGGGCUGGAGGCGGAACACAAGACCAAUCCGCUGGCCAGUGAUGCUCACUUUUUAUAGCGCCUUUCUCUUACUGCACCAGUGCCAUAACGCAUGGCAGACCCCGACUGAAGAUCCGGCGAGUCCCCCGAGACCACAAUAUCACCGAACAAACCCACUUAAUCCACACUGGGCACGAGGCAGCAGUCCAUGCCAGGGUGUGCACAUCGUCACAUGGAGGGGUGCCAUACGUGCUGCCCUCUUCACCCCCAGCCUUCUAAAUAUGUCGGCUGAUUUUCUUAUAGGCACUGCCACCAUGGUGCCCCUUUCUAAAGAUGCCAUACUCUGUCUACAACAGUGCACUCCUUUUCUGCGUGGACUCUGCCAGUUUUCUCAGUGUCAAUGUUGGCGAUGUUUCCAGCAGGUGGACGGGUCAGGUAGGCUCAGGGCCAUUAACAGCAAAGGUGGGCUUAGGAAAUCGAUGGGUCAGGCAGGGUGGUCCUGGUCCUUGGACGGAGAAGGGGGCCACCAAAUGCCUCCUCUCUUCAAAAUGAUUUUACUAGAAGAGAGCAGGAGAAUGUCGUGGCGUCUCGAGCGGCCAAAGGCUCAGAAUUCAGCGAUGCCAACACGAGGGGGCACACCUGGCCAUGGUGGGCAGGUCCAGUCGCGUGAGUCCGCCUCCUCGGGGGUUCCAUGUGUGUGUGCGCGUGUGUGUGUGCGCUCCGCAAUCUGCUCAAUCCGAGCUCGACUUCCGGACGGGAAGUGCCGGAGUUGUUCUGCGGGUCGAGGGGGCAGGCGAGAACCCCAGACGGGAUGCCGCCGGUCACGACACACACGUGUUCCGCGCCUUCAGCCGGCACGUGAUCGCGGCCGCUCAUUCUUCGGAGAGUCACGACCUCACUUCCGCGUUCGCGGGUCGCCAUGGAGACGCAGGACUCUUCGGACGGGGCAGUCGGCGCGCUCGGCUCUCCUUGUUUGUGCCCCCACCCACCGCCUGGCUGGCAGGUGAACUUAUUUAGGGCGGGCGCGCAGUGAACGACUCACACCAAGUGCCUCGUCCGCCUUGUGUGCUGUGGUCCGCGCCAGGUGACUGUGGGGGGCGGGGAGGGCAGGUGGGCUCGGCGACAUUCAAGCGCCCAAGUAGCUGACCCCGAGGAUCGCUCCAUCGCUCCAUCUCUCGCUUUUUUUUCUUCUUCUUCUUCUUCUUCUUGACGCGCACGGCUGGGGAGAACUUUGACCGGCGGAGCGGCGAUCGUCAAGUCACCUGGAAUGUCCUGCUCUCCGGCGGGGCCACGCGAUAAAAAGUGCAAAGAGUGCCGCCCGUGAAAACACCUGGACAAGAAACAGGGGAGGCGGCCAUUAAGGAGCCCUUCAGCUGGGGACCCCCGCGACAGCGAAGCCCUCCUUUGUCGCCCGGACUAAGCAGUUAAUGAGCCUAGCGGCGCGGAUGAGGACACGCGGGCUGAAGAUCACCUUGUGGCUGCUGCGUCACUGACCUGCUCAUGUCCGCCGCUCCGCCAGCCACCUCCGUGACACCGACAGUGGCCGUCAUGUCCGCUCUGGGGGUCAACGAGCUCACGGUGGUGAUAGCGACAAGCUCCUGUAUGAUCUUCUUCAUCAUCAUCAUGGUGCUGCUCAUCAUCAUGUACCAGAAGGACCCGCUCUGCUGUAAAGCCAGACAUACUGGGGGCAGGAUGGCCAGCCAGCAGU